UUUGCUCAUCUGCACGGUGAC
Molecule: non-coding RNA, 21 nt
Filed under: Caenorhabditis elegans
Lineage: Eukaryota; Metazoa; Nematoda; Chromadorea; Rhabditida; Rhabditidae
Source: RNAcentral